This is a long non-coding RNA of Triticum aestivum (bread wheat), 202 nucleotides long. RefSeq lists it as uncharacterized. The transcript has 3 exons. NCBI's taxonomy places the organism in Eukaryota, Viridiplantae, Streptophyta, Magnoliopsida, Poales, Poaceae. The record is from RefSeq and is a predicted model, not a curated record.
CACUAAAUCGGGAGAUAACUACCUGAAACAUGACAUGAUUUUCCUACCUUCAAAUAUUCCCAACCACCACUGGUUCCUGGCUGUUGUCAACUCCCAAAAGAGGGAGAUUCAAAUUCUGGACUCACUCCAAUCACGCAACAACCGCAAAGAAGUAAUUGCUGCGCUUCUUGGAAUGGAAACACAUAUUGAUAUAGCAGUGAUG